GUCUAGAGGCCUAGGACACCGCCCUUUCACGGCGGUAACGGGGGUUCGAACCCCCCUG
This 58-nucleotide transfer RNA is filed under the name Thalassiosira minuscula. It matches the Rfam family "tRNA", at positions 10 to 65 of the family's 71-position model. From Rfam's summary of the family: Transfer RNA (tRNA) molecules are approximately 80 nucleotides in length. Their secondary structure includes four short double-helical elements and three loops (D, anti-codon, and T loops). The record is from RNAcentral. Lineage: Eukaryota; Bacillariophyta; Thalassiosirophyceae; Thalassiosirales; Thalassiosiraceae.